AAACCAACAGGGAUUGCCCCAGUAGCGGCGAGUGAAGCGGCAAGAGCUCAGAUUUGAAAUCUCAUCCCUCACGGGGUGCGAGUUGUAAAUUGCAGGUUGGGAAAUCUCGGAGUAGCAUGUGUGUGCAAGUCCCUUGGAACAGGGCGCCACUGAGGGUGAGAGCCCCGUAGCGUGCAUGUGGUGCUUCUAUGAGAUCCCUUCUGACGAGUCGAGUUGUUUGGGAAUGCAGCUCUAAGUGGGUGGUAAAUUCCAUCUAAGGCUAAAUAUUGGCGAGAGACCGAUAGCGAACAAGUACUGUGAAGGAAAGAUGAAAAGCACUUUGAAAAGAGAGUGAAACAGCACGUGAAAUUGUUGAAAGGGAAGGGUAUUGGGCCCGACAUGGGAUUUACGCAUCGUUGCCUCUCGUGGGCGGCGCUCUGNGUUUUUCCUGGGCCAGCAUCGGUUUCCGUUGCAGGAUAAAGACCGAUUGGAAUGUGGCUCCCUUCUUCGUGGGGGAGUGUUAUAGCCAUCGGUAAAUGCUGCGUACAGGGGACCGAGGACUGCGGCGUUCACUCGUCUCGGAUGCUGGCACAACGGCGCAAUACCGC
This 587-nucleotide ribosomal RNA is filed under the name Pichia heedii. Its description in RNAcentral is "eukaryotic LSU rRNA". It matches the Rfam family "Eukaryotic large subunit ribosomal RNA", at positions 62 to 648 of the family's 3401-position model. The record is from RNAcentral. Lineage: Eukaryota; Fungi; Ascomycota; Pichiomycetes; Pichiales; Pichiaceae.